AUACGGAGGGUGCAAGCGUUAUUCGGAAUCACUGGGCGUAAAGGACACGUAGGCGGGAAGCCAAGUCUGAUGUGAAAUCCUAUGGCUUAACCAUAGAACUGCAUUGGAAACUGGUUACCUAGAGUAUGGGAGGGGGAGAUGGAAUUAGUGGUGUAGGGGUAAAAUCCGUAGAUAUCACUAGGAAUACCUAAAGCGAAGGCGAUCUCCUGGAACAAUACUGACGCUAAGGUGUGAAAGCGUGGGGAGCAAACGGGAUUAGAAACCCCAGUAGUCC
Molecule: ribosomal RNA, 274 nt
Filed under: uncultured bacterium
Lineage: Bacteria
Description: partial 16S ribosomal RNA
Rfam family: Bacterial small subunit ribosomal RNA
Source: RNAcentral